This 1451-nucleotide ribosomal RNA is filed under the name Salmonella enterica subsp. enterica serovar Schwarzengrund. RNAcentral describes it as "bacterial SSU rRNA". It matches the Rfam family "Bacterial small subunit ribosomal RNA". The record is from RNAcentral. Lineage: Bacteria; Pseudomonadati; Pseudomonadota; Gammaproteobacteria; Enterobacterales; Enterobacteriaceae.
GGCGGACGGGUGAGUAAUGUCUGGGAAACUGCCUGAUGGAGGGGGAUAACUACUGGAAACGGUGGCUAAUACCGCAUAACGUCGCAAGACCAAAGAGGGGGACCUUCGGGCCUCUUGCCAUCAGAUGUGCCCAGAUGGGAUUAGCUUGUUGGUGAGGUAACGGCUCACCAAGGCGACGAUCCCUAGCUGGUCUGAGAGGAUGACCAGCCACACUGGAACUGAGACACGGUCCAGACUCCUACGGGAGGCAGCAGUGGGGAAUAUUGCACAAUGGGCGCAAGCCUGAUGCAGCCAUGCCGCGUGUAUGAAGAAGGCCUUCGGGUUGUAAAGUACUUUCAGCGGGGAGGAAGGUGUUGUGGUUAAUAACCGCAGCAAUUGACGUUACCCGCAGAAGAAGCACCGGCUAACUCCGUGCCAGCAGCCGCGGUAAUACGGAGGGUGCAAGCGUUAAUCGGAAUUACUGGGCGUAAAGCGCACGCAGGCGGUCUGUCAAGUCGGAUGUGAAAUCCCCGGGCUCAACCUGGGAACUGCAUUCGAAACUGGCAGGCUUGAGUCUUGUAGAGGGGGGUAGAAUUCCAGGUGUAGCGGUGAAAUGCGUAGAGAUCUGGAGGAAUACCGGUGGCGAAGGCGGCCCCCUGGACAAAGACUGACGCUCAGGUGCGAAAGCGUGGGGAGCAAACAGGAUUAGAUACCCUGGUAGUCCACGCCGUAAACGAUGUCUACUUGGAGGUUGUGCCCUUGAGGCGUGGCUUCCGGAGCUAACGCGUUAAGUAGACCGCCUGGGGAGUACGGCCGCAAGGUUAAAACUCAAAUGAAUUGACGGGGGCCCGCACAAGCGGUGGAGCAUGUGGUUUAAUUCGAUGCAACGCGAAGAACCUUACCUGGUCUUGACAUCCACAGAACUUUCCAGAGAUGGAUUGGUGCCUUCGGGAACUGUGAGACAGGUGCUGCAUGGCUGUCGUCAGCUCGUGUUGUGAAAUGUUGGGUUAAGUCCCGCAACGAGCGCAACCCUUAUCCUUUGUUGCCAGCGGUCCGGCCGGGAACUCAAAGGAGACUGCCAGUGAUAAACUGGAGGAAGGUGGGGAUGACGUCAAGUCAUCAUGGCCCUUACGACCAGGGCUACACACGUGCUACAAUGGCGCAUACAAAGAGAAGCGACCUCGCGAGAGCAAGCGGACCUCAUAAAGUGCGUCGUAGUCCGGAUUGGAGUCUGCAACUCGACUCCAUGAAGUCGGAAUCGCUAGUAAUCGUGGAUCAGAAUGCCACGGUGAAUACGUUCCCGGGCCUUGUACACACCGCCCGUCACACCAUGGGAGUGGGUUGCAAAAGAAGUAGGUAGCUUAACCUUCGGGAGGGCGCUUACCACUUUGUGAUUCAUGACUGGGGUGAAGUCGUAACAAGGUAACCGUAGGGGAACCUGCGGUUGGAUCACCUCCUUACCUUAAAGAUGC